This 253-nucleotide ribosomal RNA is filed under the name uncultured bacterium. Its description in RNAcentral is "partial 16S ribosomal RNA". It matches the Rfam family "Bacterial small subunit ribosomal RNA", at positions 524 to 776 of the family's 1533-position model. The record is from RNAcentral.
UACGUAGGGUGCAAGCGUUAAUCGGAAUUACUGGGCGUAAAGCGUGCGCAGGCGGUUGUGUAAGUCUGUCGUGAAAUCCCCGGGCUCAACCCGGGAACUGCGUCCGAUACUGGAAGGCUUGAAUCCGGGAGAGGGAUGCGGAAUUCCAGGUGUAGCGGUGAAAUGCGUAGAUAUCUGGAGGAACACCGGUGGCGAAGGCGGCAUCCUGGGCCGGCAUUGACGCUGAGGCGCGAAAGCCAGGGGAGCAAACGGG